GAUGAACGCUGGCGGCGUGCCUAAUACAUGCAAGUCGAGCGAACAGACGAGGAGCUUGCUCCUCUGACGUUAGCGGCGGACGGGUGAGUAACACGUGGAUAACCUACCUAUAAGACUGGGAUAACUUCGGGAAACCGGAGCUAAUACCGGAUAAUAUAUUGAGCCGCAUGGUUCAAUAGUGAAAGACGGUUUUGCUGUCACUUAUAGAUGGAUCCGCGCCGCAUUAGCUAGUUGGUAAGGUAACGGCUUACCAAGGCAACGAUGCGUAGCCGACCUGAGAGGGUGGUCGGCCACACUGGAACUGAGACACGGUCCAGACUCCUACGGGAGGCAGCAGUAGGGAAUCUUCCGCAAUGGGCGAAAGCCUGACGGAGCAACGCCGCGUGAGUGAUGAAGGUCUUCGGAUCGUAAAACUCUGUUAUUAGGGAAGAACAAAUGUGUAAGUAACUAUGCACGUCUUGACGGUACCUAAUCAGAAAGCCACGGCUAACUACGUG
This 497-nucleotide ribosomal RNA is filed under the name uncultured bacterium. Its description in RNAcentral is "partial 16S ribosomal RNA". It matches the Rfam family "Bacterial small subunit ribosomal RNA", at positions 28 to 507 of the family's 1533-position model. The record is from RNAcentral.